GACGAACGCUGGCGGCGUGCUUAACACAUGCAAGUCGAGCGGUAAGGCCCUUCGGGGUACACGAGCGGCGAACGGGUGAGUAACACGUGAGCAAUCUGCCCUUCACUUUGGGAUAACCACCGGAAACGGUGGCUAAUACCGGAUACGACCAUCCCAGGCAUCUGGUGGUGGUGGAAAGUUCUGGCGGUGGAGGAUGAGCUCGCGGCCUAUCAGCUUGUUGGUGGGGUAAUGGCCUACCAAGGCGACGACGGGUAGCCGGCCUGAGAGGGUGACCGGCCACACUGGGACUGAGACACGGCCCAGACUCCUACGGGAGGCAGCAGUGGGGAAUAUUGGACAAUGGGCGAAAGCCUGAUCCAGCAACGCCGCGUGAGGGAUGACGGCCUUCGGGUUGUAAACCUCUUUCAGUAGGGACGAAGCUAACGUGACGGUACCUACAGAAGAAGCACCGGCCAACUACGUGCCAGCAGCCGCGGUAAUACGUAGGGUGCGAGCGUUGUCCGGAAUUAUUGGGCGUAAAGGGCUCGUAGGCGGUUUGUCACGUCGGGAGUGAAAACUCGGGGCUUAACCCCGAGCCUGCUUCCGAUACGGGCUGACUAGAGGUAUGCAGGGGAGAACGGAAUUCCUGGUGUAGCGGUGAAAUGCGCAGAUAUCAGGAGGAAUACCGGUGGCGAAGGCGGUUCUCUGGGCAUUACCUGACGCUGAGGAGCGAAAGUGUGGGGAGCGAACAGGAUUAGAUACCCUGGUAGUCCACACCGUAAACGUUGGGCGCUAGGUGUGGGACUCAUUCCACGAGUUCCGUGCCGCAGCUAACGCAUUAAGCGCCCCGCCUGGGGAGUACGGCCGCAAGGCUA
RNAcentral lists this ribosomal RNA (854 nucleotides) under uncultured bacterium. RNAcentral describes it as "bacterial SSU rRNA". It matches the Rfam family "Bacterial small subunit ribosomal RNA", at positions 28 to 896 of the family's 1533-position model. The record is from RNAcentral.